This 405-nucleotide unclassified non-coding RNA is filed under the name soil metagenome. RNAcentral describes it as "partial contains 5.8S ribosomal RNA, internal transcribed spacer 2, and large subunit ribosomal RNA". The stretch from base 1 to 120 matches the Rfam family "5.8S ribosomal RNA", at positions 35 to 154 of the family's 154-position model. The record is from RNAcentral.
GAUGAAGAACGCAGCGAAAUGCGAUAAGUAGUGUGAAUUGCAGAAUUCAGUGAAUCAUCGAAUCUUUGAACGCACAUUGCGCCCUUCGGUAUUCCGUAGGGCAUGCCUGUUUGAGUAUCAUGAACACCUCAACUCUUCAUGGUUUUCCGUGAUGAGCUUGGACUUUGGGGGUCUUGCUGGCCUAUGGUCAGCUCCUCUAAAAUAAAUCAGCUUGCCAGUGUUUGGUGGGUAUCACAGGUGUGAUAACUAUCUACGCUUGUGGUUUUCCACCAGGUAACCUUCAGCAGUGGAGGUUCGCUGGAGCUCACAGAUGUGUCUCUCCUCAGUGAGGACAGCUCUUUGAAUGUUUGAUCUCAAAUCAGGUAGGACUACCCGCUGAACUUAAGCAUAUCAAUAAGCGGAGGA